UACGAGACACCGAAAAGUUUGAAAAAACCCAAAAUAGCCGAACGUCGUCGUAGUAUCAGCUUCCUUCAUUCCGGCCAAUAUCUGAAAAAACACACAAAUACACACACUGAAGGUGCAUUCCGGGGCCGCAUCAGCAGAUUUGGAGCUUGCAAUCGAGGCUGUCAAUUAUGUCGAUAAAACCAACGGUUGCAUUAAGAGCAAUGCUCGUAGGAGGAAUUGCUGCCUUUGCUAAAAUUGGAGGCGCAAUGAAAGCUGCAGGUGGAGUGAAGAUUGGUGCCGCAGCCGCUGCUGUGACUGCUGCAGCAACUGCUGCUGUAUCAGGACCGAAACAGGAUCCAAACAACACAUCAGCUCCUCCUUCAAAAUAAAAGUUCUGUAGCUGCAAAAUUUGCCCACUGUAUUUCUGGGAAGUUUUGGACAUAGUGAAUAUGCAUGUACUUCAAUAAUAUUUUUACGA
Non-coding RNA from Sesamum indicum (sesame), 457 nucleotides. Lineage: Eukaryota; Viridiplantae; Streptophyta; Magnoliopsida; Lamiales; Pedaliaceae. The record is from RefSeq and is a predicted model, not a curated record.